Brassica oleracea var. oleracea is the source of this 1575-nucleotide RNA transcript. It is a transcript of the gene named SWR1-complex protein 4-like, with no coding region annotated. NCBI's taxonomy places the organism in Eukaryota, Viridiplantae, Streptophyta, Magnoliopsida, Brassicales, Brassicaceae. The transcript has 13 exons. The record is from RefSeq and is a predicted model, not a curated record.
UUCUGAAUCGAUCCUGAUCGAAUCGAAGACCGUAUCGUUUCUGGAUUGGCUGAUAGCUACUCGUUAAACUCGAAAUCGUAAUCGGAAUGGGCGGUACGGACGCGAAGGACAUCCUCGGGUUGCCGAAGACUCCACUGUCUUUAGCUCAGGAGAAGAGAUCUCGACCCCAGAAGGAGUCCCAUCGAAAACCCGAUGGCAUUUCUCGCGAGGUUUAUGCGCUUACGGGCGGCGUUGCCUUCAAUUGAUUAAAACGACCUCAAAUUUAUAGAUUUUAGAUGAUUUAUCUGUGGGUUUUGAUGUUAAAGAACCCUUCUUUCUUUCAGGUAGCUUGGCAAUGGCUUCCCGUCAAGAGUUCUGCUAGGAGUGAUGAUUUGCAGCUCUUCCAUUGGGUUAGAGUGGUUAAUGAUGUUCCACCAUCAGUCAGUUGAUGUCCUGAAAUACACUGACGAUGAGUAUGAGAACCAUUUAACGGACCCUGUGUGGACCAAGGAAGAGACAGAUCAGUUGUUUGAAUUGUGUGAAAGGUUUGAUCUCCGUUUCACUGUGAUUGCUGAUCGCUUUCCAUUAUCCCGGACUCUAGAGGAAUUGAAGGAUCGUUACUAUAGCGUAACUCCGGGCCCUGCUGCGUGCUAGAGCUCAGUGUUGGCAAACCAUCCUCUUAUAAAAGAGCCGUAUGAUAGGACACGCGAUAGAGAGCGCAAACGUGCAUUGUCUAUGGUCUUGUCCCAGAGUAGACACCAAGAGAAGAAAGAUGCAGAGAUUCUAGCUGAGGCUCACAGAGAUGCGUUUGGCUGCGCGUCGUGCGGCAGAGCCUGAUGUGCCUGCGAAUGAGAAUAUCGGUAGUGUAUCUCCAUCUUCCAAUUCUCAACUUCCUGCAACUGCCGUGGCUCCAUCCACACUAUCAAUGGCAGAUUAUGCCUCUACCCUUGCUUCUCUGCACAUGCUUCAUGUAUACUUGAGAACCUAUGGACUUGAACAAAUGGUCCAAGCUGCAAGCUCUGCUGUUGGUCUUCGAACGAUCAAGCGCGUUGAGUAGACUCUGCAAGAUCUCGGGGUUAAUUUAAAGCCAAAGUUCCUACGACAUCUUGAAUUACGAAAAGAAAAUUCUAACACUACUGAAUCUUCAGAAGCAGCUACAGUAUAAAGAAUCAGAAGGUUCAUCACACCGUGAAGGGACAUAUGCCGCAAUGCCGGAUACUCCAAAGGUCAGCAUCAUAACUUGAAUCGUCAAUUCUUACUGCAGUUUCAUCCUUGUAUGGAUAUAUUAUCUCUAAUCCUUUGUGUAUGAUCAGGAUCGCAUCUGAGCCAUUCAGUUUUGGAGCUGAAAGACCAAUCAAGAAGGAACAAAAGCGCAAGGUAAUCCAGAUCAGUGUCUAGUCUUUGUAUCAUAUAUAUGGAUUUCUAUGAAAGUAUAUAAACCCUACACGGUCCUGGAAGACAAUCAGAUACUCCUUCACCAGCUCAUAAGAGGCCCAGAAAAUUGAAAGCAUCUGAUCUCUGACUGCAAUACUGAUUUCCAAUUUUUUUUUUUUGAAUAAAUUUUAAAUUUUAUUUAUCCAAAACUUUUGUACAUAA